RNAcentral lists this ribosomal RNA (259 nucleotides) under uncultured microorganism. RNAcentral describes it as "partial 16S ribosomal RNA". It matches the Rfam family "Bacterial small subunit ribosomal RNA", at positions 9 to 264 of the family's 1533-position model. The record is from RNAcentral.
GAGUUUGAUCGUGGCUCAGAUUGAACGCUGGCGGCACGCUUAACACAUGCAAGUCGGACGGCAGCACGGGUGCUUGCACCUGGUGGCGAGUGGCGGACGGGUGAGUAAUGCUUAGGGAUCUGGCGCGAAGCGGGGACAACACGGGGGAACGUCGUGCUAAUAACCGCAUAAGCUCUGAGGAGUAAAGAUGGCCUCUAUUUAUAAGCUAUCGCUUUGUCGAUGAACCUAAGUCGGAUUAGCUAGUUGGUGGGGUAAAGGG